GGGGUUAUCACUAUAGGGUCAUGAAUUCAUGUUUGUGUUCCUGACCCUAUAGUGAUCCUUUAAGGUAAUGCUGACUUUGGUCUUUCUAACACUGUGGGAUGUUCCCUUUCUUCUACACUCACUACAUCUUUUCUAUGUCCCAGACUAUAUACCAGGAGCUUCUGCCUGCUAGUAAGAAGGUAAGGAGACAAGUGGACCAGCGAG
This 204-nucleotide long non-coding RNA is filed under the name Pelobates cultripes (western spadefoot toad). Lineage: Eukaryota; Metazoa; Chordata; Amphibia; Anura; Pelobatidae. The record is from RNAcentral.